GGCUGGGUAGCUCAGUUGGUUAGAGCAUACGGUUCAUACCCGUAGUGUCGGCGGUUCGAGUCCGCCCCUAGCCA
RNAcentral lists this transfer RNA (74 nucleotides) under Alphaproteobacteria bacterium. RNAcentral's name for it is "tRNA-Met". It matches the Rfam family "tRNA". From Rfam's summary of the family: Transfer RNA (tRNA) molecules are approximately 80 nucleotides in length. Their secondary structure includes four short double-helical elements and three loops (D, anti-codon, and T loops). Further hydrogen bonds mediate the characteristic L-shaped molecular structure. tRNAs have two regions of fundamental functional importance: the anti-codon, which is responsible for specific mRNA codon recognition, and the 3' end, to which the tRNAs corresponding amino acid is attached (by aminoacyl-tRNA synthetases). tRNAs cope with the degeneracy of the genetic code in two manners: having more than one tRNA (with a specific anti-codon) for a particular amino acid; and 'wobble' base-pairing, i.e. permitting non-standard base-pairing at the 3rd anti-codon position. The record is from RNAcentral. RNAcentral also lists the same sequence under 1 other name. Lineage: Bacteria; Pseudomonadati; Pseudomonadota; Alphaproteobacteria.